Molecule: RNA transcript, 3353 nt
Organism: Amborella trichopoda
Lineage: Eukaryota; Viridiplantae; Streptophyta; Magnoliopsida; Amborellales; Amborellaceae
Gene name: NAC domain-containing protein 45
Source: RefSeq, a predicted model, not a curated record
GUUUCUCUCUCUAUCUGUAUUGAACGGCCCCCUCUGUUCAUCAACUUUACUAAACACUGAUCUUCUCUCUCAAGUGACGGAUACUGUGAAGAUCUUUCACCGAAGAAUUCCUUGCGCAAAUCUUUUACAAGCUUUCCUGAAACUCCUAUUCCCUCGAUUUGGUAUCAAAUGAAGUUUGAAUGCUGACAAACAGAUGCCUGGAUUACAUUGAAGUAUCACUUACCUGAGCUUUUUCGGUUUCCAUCGAAGAACCACUCUUGAGUUUUUUUUACUUCUAUUGAAGGUUGUUGCGAUGAAUUUAUAUGAUUUACCUGGCUUCAGGUUUCACCCCACUGAUGACGAGCUCAUUUCACAUUACCUUACAAAAAAGAUUAAUGGAAAAGGGGAUGUGCAGGUUAUACCGGAGGUUGACAUGUGCAAGUGCGAGCCAUGGGAUUUGCCUGGCAAGUCCCCAAUUAAAACCAGAUAUCCAGAGUGGCACUUCUUCUGCCCCCGUGAUAUAAAGUACCCAAAUGGGCGGCGAUCUAAUAGAGCCACUGCAGCUGGUUACUGGAAAGCAACAGGAAAGGCCCGAAAAAUCAAAUCCAAGUUUCAUGGGUUUUUGAUUGGUACGAAGAGAACACUGGUUUUCCAUGAGGGACGAUCUCCCAGAAAAAGAACUCCUUGGAUAAUGCAUGAGUACCGUGUUGAUGGACAUGCUCUUCAGGAUUUGAAUGGCUCUCAGGAUGCCUAUGUCCUGUGCCGCCUUUUCAAUAAGGAUGGUUUGAAUGAGAAGAGCGAUGAUCCACGCUAUGAUGGGGUGGAGCUGAGUGACUUAUCGCCUAACCCUAGCAAGUCUUCUGCUGCUAGGACAGUGAUCGAUGGAGAACAUGGAGAGCAAUUCGACCAGACCUCAAAGUUGGAUGUUAAGGAGACAAAUGUGCAAGAAACCUCAUCACCUAAAAUAAUGGAUUCAAACUAUUUAACUAAGUUUUUGUUAGAGUUGCUGGCUACUGAUGAUUCUCUCCAACCAAUUGAGAGUGAGCAGCACUAUAAGGGUGAUGAAGAGCAGGAAGCCUCAGAUUUGUUUCACGUGCCCAACUACGAGCCACUUGUUCUUGAAAAUCACAUGCCUUCCUCAUCUAGCUUUUGUAGUAAUCCUGGCACAUUUGAUGAUGGGGGUUUCGAAGCAAGCAUGGAGGGUUGGGAUGGAUUAGGUGUUGUUAACUCGUACAGACCCUCUUCUGUCCCAAGAUCUGAAUCUUUUGAUGAUCUUUUGAAUUUUGAUGAAGGUCAAGUGGGAGAAUGGGAUGGUGGUCAUAUUCCUUCAAUUAACUUUAUAGGUCAUUGUGAGUCUGGAAUUGUGAGACGUGAGCGUCAACCGGUUCCUCGGGACAACGUUCGAUUCCAGGGCGCUGCAUCGAGGAGAGUUUGCCUACAAAUGCUAAGUAUUGGAGGAGCGUUCCAUGAGGCAGAAGAACAUGAGGAGACACAGAAGGAUGGAGGCACGUUAGUUGCUGUGCUCCAGGGCUUGGAGGAUGAGACCGAGAUGUCAGUGCAAGUGAAAGAUACUCCUCCAGUUAGAUUGCUGCCAGCUGCAGAAGUUGAGGAAGGUCUGCAACAGGAGAGCUACCCAUGUGGUGCCCAAAUCAAAUUUAUUCAACCUCUGCGUCAGCAUGCCAAGAAGAGAGUUCUUUGUAGAAGCCCAACGAGGGCCAUGGGCAUUGAUUCUUUGGAGGAGAGAAAAGUGGAUGCUGAUCCUUUGGAGGAGAGAGAAGUUCUUGAGAGAGACAUGUGGCCCAUGUCUAGAAUGAUACAUGUACCUGAUUCUGACUCAGAAAGCAGCAACAAGAGUGGCAUGGCGGAGCCGAGACUAGGCGCCCUGAAUGUCAAUGUAGAAGAAAUCGACACCAAGUCAAGUAGAGGCAUCACUAAACCCAAUCCAUUGCGAAUACCGAAGUCCUUGAAGAUUGGUUGUGCUGUGAUUCUUGCUAUCGUUGCAAUACUGGUCAUCAUGGUUCUCAUCUUUGUCAAGGGUGAUAAGGAGCAGGAAGCCUUGGAUUUGUUUCCCGUGCCCAACUACGAGCCACUUGUUCUCGAGAAACCAAUUCACGUGCCUCCCUCAUCAAGCGUUUUCAGUAAUCUUGGCAAAUUUGCUGGUAAGGGUUUUGAAGCGAGCACAGGGGACUUGGAUGGGUUAAGUGUUGUUAACCCGCACAGAUCCUCUUCUGUCUCAAGUGAUGAAUUUUUUGAUAACCUUCUCAAUUUUGAUGAAAAUCAUAUGGGAGAAUGGAAUGGUGGUCAUAAUACUUCAAUUAAAGGUGAUAGUGAGACUGGAAUUGUGAGAAAAGAGCGUCAAACCUGUUCCUAGGUACAACCCUCCCGUUUUCCCAUUCCAGGGCACUGCAUCAAGGAGUAUUUGCCUACAAAAGCCAAGUAUUGGAGGAGCGUUCCAUGAGGCAGAAAAGAGCAGGAGAGAGAAGGAUAGUGGCACUUUAGCUGCUGUGCUCCAGGGCUUGGAGGAUGAGACUGGUACUCUCCAAAUCACAACAUUCAUUUUAACCAAGGAGGGACUAAUGCCAUCUCUAGAGAUGUCAGUGCAAGUGAAAGAUGCACCUCCAGUUACAAGUCUGCAAGCUGCAGAAGUUGAGGAAGGUCUGCAACAUGAGAGCUACCCAUGUGGUGCCCAAAUCAAAUUAAUUCAACCUGUGCAACUUCAUGCCAAGAAGAAAGUUCUUCAUGGAAGCCCAACGAGGGCUAUGAGUGGUGAUCCUUUGGAGGAGAGAAUAGUGGAUGCUGAUCCUUUGGAGGAGAGAGAAGUUCUUGAGAGAGACAUGCAGCCCGUGUCUUGAAUGAUACAUGUACCCGAUUCUGACUCAGAAAUACCCGAUUCUGACUCAGAAAGCAGCAACAAGAGAGGCAUGGUGGAGCCGAGACUAGGCACUAGGAAUGACAAUGUAGACGCCAACUCAAGUGGAGGCAUCACUAAACCCCAUCCGUUGCGAGUACCGAAAUCCUUGAAGAUUGGUUGUGCUGUGGUUCUUGCUAUCUUUGCAAUACUGCUCGGCUUUCAUCUUUGUCAAGGUUUUCUUCACCUAUUCAAAAUCAUCGACCUCUGUUGCCUUACGACAUGAUAACUAUAUGCUCACUGUGCUGUGCAUUGUGCAGUGAACAGCCUAAAAGACCUCAUUUUAGAUUUUGUAAGUUAUUCUGUACCUUGCCAAGUUUAGUUGGGAGUCCUUCAAGCCUUGGAUGCCUCCACGAAGCCAAACCCAUGUACAGUUUUGGAUGCAUGCCCUCCAAGAAGCGGAACUCAUGUACAAUUUUGUUUAAACGAUGUUUGUUAGUAUUAAAAAAAUUGACUUGGCGUAGCU